RNAcentral lists this ribosomal RNA (158 nucleotides) under uncultured bacterium. Its description in RNAcentral is "partial 16S ribosomal RNA". It matches the Rfam family "Bacterial small subunit ribosomal RNA", at positions 355 to 509 of the family's 1533-position model. The record is from RNAcentral.
UGAGGAAUAUUGGUCAAUGGGCGGGAAGCCUGAACCAGCCAAGUAGCGUGCAGGAUGACGGCCCUACGGGUUGUAAACUGCUUUUUUGCGGGAAUAAAGUGGCCCACGUGUGGGCCUUUGCAUGUACCGCACGAAUAAGGACCGGCUAAUUCCGUGCC